Molecule: microRNA precursor, 74 nt
Filed under: Cercocebus atys (sooty mangabey)
Lineage: Eukaryota; Metazoa; Chordata; Mammalia; Primates; Cercopithecidae
Description: miRNA (ENSCATG00000017148.1)
Source: RNAcentral
UAUUAGGUUGGUGCAAAAGUAAUCGCGGUUUUUGCCAUUGAAAGUAAUGGCAAAAACCGCGAUUACUUUCGCAC